GACGAACGCUGGCGGCGCGCCUAACACAUGCAAGUCGAACGAGCGAGAGAGAGCUUGCUUUCUCGAGCGAGUGGCGAACGGGUGAGUAACGCGUGAGGAACCUGCCUCAAAGAGGGGGACAACAGUUGGAAACGACUGCUAAUACCGCAUAAGCCCACGGGUCGGCAUCGACCAGAGGGAAAAGGAGCGAUCCGCUUUGAGAUGGCCUCGCGUCCGAUUAGCUAGUUGGUGAGGUAACGGCCCACCAAGGCGACGAUCGGUAGCCGGACUGAGAGGUUGAACGGCCACAUUGGGACUGAGACACGGCCCAGACUCCUACGGGAGGCAGCAGUGGGGAAUAUUGCACAAUGGGGGAAACCCUGAUGCAGCGACGCCGCGUGGAGGAAGAAGGUCUUCGGAUUGUAAACUCCUGUUGUUGGGGAAGAUAAUGACGGUAC
RNAcentral lists this ribosomal RNA (437 nucleotides) under uncultured bacterium. RNAcentral describes it as "bacterial SSU rRNA". It matches the Rfam family "Bacterial small subunit ribosomal RNA", at positions 28 to 478 of the family's 1533-position model. The record is from RNAcentral.